UGGGGAAUAUUGCACAAUGGGCGAAAGCCUGAUGCAGCAACGCCGCGUGAGUGAUGAAGGUCUUCGGAUUGUAAAGCUCUGUCUUUUGGGACGAUAAUGACGGUACCAAAGGAGGAAGCCACGGCUAACUACGUGCCAGCAGCCGCGGUAAUACGUAGGUGGCGAGCGUUGUCCGGAUUUACUGGGCGUAAAGGGUGCGUAGGCGGAUGUUUAAGUGAGAUGUGAAAUACCCGGGCUUAACUUGGGUGCUGCAUUUCAAACUGGAUAUCUAGAGUGCAGGAGAGGAGAAUGGAAUCCCUAGUGUAGCGGUGAAAUGCGUAGAGAUUAGGAAGAACACCAGUGGCGAAGGCGAUUCUCUGGACUGUAACUGACGCUGAGGCACGAAAGCGUGGGUAGCAAACAGGAUUAGAUACCCUGGUAGUCCACGCCGUAAACGAUGAGUACUAGGUGUAGGAGGUAUCGACCCCUUCUGUGCCGCAGUAAACACAUUAAGUACUCCGCCUGGGAAGUACGAUCGCAAG
RNAcentral lists this ribosomal RNA (521 nucleotides) under uncultured bacterium. RNAcentral describes it as "partial 16S ribosomal RNA". It matches the Rfam family "Bacterial small subunit ribosomal RNA", at positions 355 to 892 of the family's 1533-position model. The record is from RNAcentral.